This 1603-nucleotide ribosomal RNA is filed under the name Acinetobacter baumannii ABNIH13. RNAcentral describes it as "bacterial LSU rRNA". It matches the Rfam family "Bacterial large subunit ribosomal RNA", at positions 1 to 1655 of the family's 2925-position model. Lineage: Bacteria; Pseudomonadati; Pseudomonadota; Gammaproteobacteria; Moraxellales; Moraxellaceae. The record is from RNAcentral.
AGUCAAGUAAUUAAGUGCAUGUGGUGGAUGCCUUGGCAGUCAGAGGCGAUGAAAGACGUGAUAGCCUGCGAAAAGCUCCGGGGAGGCGGCAAAUAUCCUUUGAUCCGGAGAUGUCUGAAUGGGGGAACCCACCUACUUUAAGGUAGGUAUUGCAACAUGAAUACAUAGUGUUGCAAGGCGAACGAGGGGAAGUGAAACAUCUCAGUACCCUUAGGAAAAGAAAUCAAUUGAGAUUCCCUCAGUAGCGGCGAGCGAACGGGGAUCAGCCCAUUAAGUUAUGUGUGUUUUAGUGGAACGCUCUGGGAAGUGCGAACGUAGAGGGUGAUAUUCCCGUACACGAAAGGGCACACAUAAUGAUGACGAGUAGGGCGAGGCACGUGAAACCUUGUCUGAAUAUGGGGGGACCAUCCUCCAAGGCUAAAUACUCCUGACUGACCGAUAGUGAACCAGUACCGUGAGGGAAAGGCGAAAAGAACCCCUGUGAGGGGAGUGAAAUAGAUCCUGAAACCGCAUGCAUACAAGCAGUGGGAGCACCUUCGUGGUGUGACUGCGUACCUUUUGUAUAAUGGGUCAGCGACUUAUAUUCAGUAGCAAGGUUAACCGUAUAGGGGAGCCGUAGAGAAAUCGAGUCUUAAUAGGGCGUUUAGUUGCUGGGUAUAGACCCGAAACCAGGCGAUCUAUCCAUGAGCAGGUUGAAGGUUGGGUAACACUAACUGGAGGACCGAACCCACUGUCGUUGAAAAGCCAGGGGAUGACUUGUGGAUAGGGGUGAAAGGCUAAUCAAGCCUGGUGAUAGCUGGUUCUCCCCGAAAGCUAUUUAGGUAGCGCCUCGGACGAAUACCAUAGGGGGUAGAGCACUGUUUCGGCUAGGGGGUCAUCCCGACUUACCAAACCGAUGCAAACUCCGAAUACCUAUGAGUACUAUCCGGGAGACAGACUGCGGGUGCUAACGUCCGUAGUCAAGAGGAAAACAAUCCAGACCGCCAGCUAAGGCCCCAAAAUCAUAGUUAAGUGGGAAACGAUGUGGGAAGGCAUAGACAGCUAGGAGGUUGGCUUAGAAGCAGCCACCCUUUAAAGAAAGCGUAAUAGCUCACUAGUCGAGUCGGCCUGCGCGGAAGAUGUAACGGGGCUAAAACUAUGUGCCGAAGCUGCGGAUGUAUACUUUGUAUACGUGGUAGGGGAGCGUUCUGUAAGCCGAUGAAGGUGUGUUGAGAAGCAUGCUGGAGGUAUCAGAAGUGCGAAUGCUGACGUGAGUAACGACAAAACGGGUGAAAAACCCGUUCGCCGAAAGACCAAGGGUUCCAGUCCAACGUUAAUCGGGGCUGGGUGAGUCGACCCCUAAGGCGAGGCCGAAAGGCGUAGUCGAUGGGAAAAUGGUUAAUAUUCCAUUACUUCUGUGUAAUGCGAUGAGAGGACGGAGAAGGCUAAAUCAGCCUGGCGUUGGUUGUCCAGGUGAAAGGAUGUAGGCAUGUAUCUUAGGCAAAUCCGGGGUACUCUAUGCUGAGAUCUGAUAGCAAGCUGUACUUGUACAGCGAAGUGGUUGAUGCCAUGCUUCCAGGAAAAGUCUCUAAGCUUCAGUUACACAGGAAUCGUACCCGAAACC